UACGUAGGGGGCGAGCGUUGUCCGGAAUUAUUGGGCGUAAAGAGCGUGUAGGCGGUUCGGUAAGUCUGCCGUGAAAACCUGGGGCUCAACCCUGGGCGUGCGGUGGAUACUGCCGGGCUAGAGGGUGGUAGAGGCGAGUGGAAUUCCGGUGUAGCGGUGAAAUGCGCAGAUAUCAGGAAGAACACCCGUGGCGAAGGCGGCUCUCUGGGACGGUACUGACGCUGAGACGCGAAAGCGUGGGGAGCGAACAGG
Molecule: ribosomal RNA, 252 nt
Filed under: uncultured bacterium
Lineage: Bacteria
Description: partial 16S ribosomal RNA
Rfam family: Bacterial small subunit ribosomal RNA
Source: RNAcentral